RNAcentral lists this unclassified non-coding RNA (74 nucleotides) under Salvelinus namaycush (lake trout). RNAcentral's name for it is "3' external transcribed spacer". The record is from RNAcentral. Lineage: Eukaryota; Metazoa; Chordata; Actinopteri; Salmoniformes; Salmonidae.
AUCUUUUGUCGGGACGGAAGGCGUCUUCCUCCACCUCCCUCCAUAUAACAAAUGGGUUACCAGGUGCACAGAAA